AUACCUACGGGGCGCAGCCGUGGGGAAUAUUGGGCAAUGGGCGCAAGCCUGACCCAGCAACGCCGCGUGAAGGAAGAAGGCUUUCGGGUUGUAAACUUCUUUUCUCAGGGACGAAGCAAGUGACGGUACCUGAGGAAUAAGCCACGGCUAACUACGUGCCAGCAGCCGCGGUAAUACGUAGGUGGCAAGCGUUAUCCGGAUUUACUGGGCGUAAAGGGCGUGUAGGCGGGAAAGAAAGUCAGAUGUGGAAACCAUGGGCUCAGACUGUGGCCUGCAUUUGAAGCUGUUUUUCUU
Molecule: ribosomal RNA, 294 nt
Filed under: uncultured bacterium
Lineage: Bacteria
Description: partial 16S ribosomal RNA
Rfam family: Bacterial small subunit ribosomal RNA
Source: RNAcentral